Molecule: transfer RNA, 72 nt
Organism: Babjeviella inositovora NRRL Y-12698
Lineage: Eukaryota; Fungi; Ascomycota; Pichiomycetes; Serinales
Rfam family: tRNA
About the family: Transfer RNA (tRNA) molecules are approximately 80 nucleotides in length.
Source: Rfam
GUUUAGAUAGCUCAAUGGUAGAGCGAUGUACUGUUAAUACAUUGGUUGAUGGUUCGAUUCCAUCUCUAGGCG